Molecule: ribosomal RNA, 429 nt
Filed under: Chloroflexota bacterium
Lineage: Bacteria; Bacillati; Chloroflexota
Description: Chloroflexi bacterium partial 16S ribosomal RNA
Rfam family: Bacterial small subunit ribosomal RNA
Source: RNAcentral
UAGGGAAUCUUCGGCAAUGGACGAAAGUCUGACCGAGCAACGCCGCGUGAGUGAAGAAGGUUUUCGGAUCGUAAAACUCUGUUGUUAGAGAAGAACAAGGACGUUAGUAACUGAACGUCCACUGACGGUAUCUAACCAGAAAGCCACGGCUAACUACGUGCCAGCAGCCGCGGUAAUACGUAGGUGGCAAGCGUUUUCCGGAUGUAUUGGGCGUAAAGCGAGCGCAGGCGGUUUCUUAAGCCUGAUGUGAAAGCCCCCGGCUCAACCGGGGAGGGUCAUUGGAAGCUGGGAGACUUGAGUGCAGAAGAGGAGGGUGGAAUUCCAUGUGUAGCGGUGAGAUGCGUAGAUAUAUGGAGGAACACCAGUGGCGAAGGCGGCUCACUGGGCGGUAACUGACGCUGAGGCUCGAAAGCGUGGGGAGCAAACAGG